This is a non-coding RNA of Monodelphis domestica (gray short-tailed opossum), 752 nucleotides long. The record is from RefSeq and is a predicted model, not a curated record. Lineage: Eukaryota; Metazoa; Chordata; Mammalia; Didelphimorphia; Didelphidae.
GAGAGAUGAGAAGCAGCACUUCAAGGAUUCAGUCCUUUUUGUUGUUGAUAUGAUGUGUAGCAAAAUGGUAUGGUGAAUAUAAUGUUGGACAUGGAGCCAGGAACCCCAAGUUCAGAUAUCACCACAAAAUCCUGCUAGCUCUGUGCUGGGUUCCAGUUUCUUUAAAAGGCAAAGCCCAAGGACAAGCUCAAAGCACCGAAUGAAAUAGACUACCUCAAAAGACCAUAAAAAUCAAGCUUGGAAGAGGGACUCUCCAGUAUGCCACAGCAAUGAAGAAAAUUAUAUCCUAGAGUAUGAAAUAAGUUACAUAUGGAAUGUUGGAACUACUGUUUUUUGAGAUAUUAUAAAGAAUGGAGGAAGUUCCAGGAAAAUGAAGACAGGAUAAUAUCUCCAUUUUAAAAGAAGAUAUAAGAUGGACACAUGGGUUACCCUCCCACCAUUACUUUCAUGAAGUGCUAGUAAUUUUUGCCUGGAAUUUCUGUUCCUCCAUUCAUGUAAGUAGUCUGUCAUCUUUAUCUUACCUCAACUCAUCCCAUCUAUUCUACUUUAAUGGUAUUUUUCUCCUGGUACUGUAGACAAUUUCCUCUUUAUUUUUGCUGCUUUUUCAAGGACACCUAUCUGUUUCUUAUAUCACUCCAUUAUUUCUUUUGAUUACCUGUGGCUUUUUUUCUGGAACCUUUGAGACAGUCUCUUUCCUAAAGAUUGAUCACACCAAAAGUCCAGUCACAGAGGAAAGCACUGAACAAGUGAAC